Molecule: unclassified non-coding RNA, 207 nt
Filed under: Hevea brasiliensis (rubber tree)
Lineage: Eukaryota; Viridiplantae; Streptophyta; Magnoliopsida; Malpighiales; Euphorbiaceae
Source: RNAcentral
GCCGAACAUCCGGAAGAGGAGAAGUCGCUUAUCAGAUUCGCCAUGGGUAAGGUUCAUGGAUCCUUGGCUCGUGCCGGUAAGGUGAGAGGCCAGACACCAAAGGUUGCUAAACAAGACAAGAAGAAGAAGCCACGAGGACGUGCCCACAAAAGGAUGCAAUACAACCGCAGAUUCGUCACUGCCGUUGUUGGCUUUGGAAAGAAGAGA